This is a long non-coding RNA of Ceratina calcarata, 894 nucleotides long. RefSeq lists it as uncharacterized. NCBI's taxonomy places the organism in Eukaryota, Metazoa, Arthropoda, Insecta, Hymenoptera, Apidae. The transcript is spliced from 3 exons. The record is from RefSeq and is a predicted model, not a curated record.
CGUUUAGAUUUACGCAUCUUAUCAAUCAGCGUUAUAUAUAAGCAUUACGUCAUAACGAUAUAAUCGCCCUAAUUAGAAAACUUUCAAAAGUGGACGAGAAUGUUUGGUUUGACAGUUCGGUUUUAUCUUAUCACGCGAGUAUAAUCCAAAACUUACAUUGUGACAAUUGUUAGAAAUACCAAAGAGGAAAUCUUUAAGAAUACGAAAAGUAUGUCGCGCGCUCGAAAUUAUGAGUUUUAUUCAGGAAAUUAAAUAAGCCGGACUGCGAGGUGCACAGGUCAAGGAACAACGUGCAACAGUGGAUUUCCUGUUCGGGAAGGUCGGUCCCUUUGGCCUACUCAUUAGGGAUCAUCGGACGUCGCCUCGAGGUUUCGACUGUCGAAUUCGUUGACGAGGAAUUCUCGGUGACACUUUUAUUGUAACUCUAAUGCCCACGUUCGGUCCAACAACGUGGAUCGACGAAGAGUCGCCAAAUCGACAGACGUUGAUUUAUAAAUCGGACAUUUCGCAAAUUCAACGUUAACACCCAGAGGGGAGAGCAAGGAGAGGGAGAAAAUAGCGGUACGAUUGACGGUAUGACCCACGAUGAGCAUGCAUUACGAGGACCCAAAUUCGAGACAGGAAGACCUGCCUUCCGGAAUUCCUGGACCGGAGAACGCAAACACGAAGGCGGCACCUAAAGUUUCGGAGCACGGGAAGCGCUAAACAAGGUGAGGCAAGGACGUCGAAACGUUCAUUCGAAAGUUGCUGAAUCGAUUUCAGUCAUACUUGAACAAUUAAAUAUAGCACUAGCCUCGCCACUGAUUUCCAAUCAUUAUUCUAUUCUUGUAACAAGCUAGACAUUCCACGCUUGUGAAAGCCCUUCGUACGUAUAAUUAUGGAUUACACCUUAUA